Molecule: ribosomal RNA, 35 nt
Filed under: Alternaria tenuissima
Lineage: Eukaryota; Fungi; Ascomycota; Dothideomycetes; Pleosporales; Pleosporaceae
Also listed under: 6 other names
Description: partial 28S ribosomal RNA
Source: RNAcentral
UCAGGUAGGGAUACCCGCUGAACUUAAGCAUAUCA